RNAcentral lists this transfer RNA (73 nucleotides) under Myxococcales bacterium. Its description in RNAcentral is "tRNA-Arg". It matches the Rfam family "tRNA". From Rfam's summary of the family: Transfer RNA (tRNA) molecules are approximately 80 nucleotides in length. Their secondary structure includes four short double-helical elements and three loops (D, anti-codon, and T loops). Lineage: Bacteria; Pseudomonadati; Myxococcota; Myxococcia; Myxococcales. The record is from RNAcentral.
CGGCGCGUAGCUCAAUGGAUAGAGCGCCGCACUACGGAUGCGGAGGUUGAAGGUUCGAGUCCUUCCGUGCCGA